AGGCGUUCGUCACCGGGGGUCACUGACCCCUCCCAGGGGCGGCUGCUCAGAAAGCCUGGACUCUUUCCCGGCCGUGAGUGGGUCAAGUUUUCUUGUCCCAGGGGAGCCGAGAACCCCCUUCAGGUCAGCGGAGCAAACCCACCCCCAACACACGCUCUAUUCAGGGAGCCUGUUCUUGGAGCCUCAGCCCUCUCCCCUUCUAGUCACUCAUUCAUUCACUCGUUCAUUCAUUCAGCAAAUCUCUGUGGAACACAUCCCACGGUCAAGGACUGUUCUAUAUCCAGCAAGACAAGGCCCUGCUCACCCUGCCCUCCAGAGGUUAAGUGGGAGCAACCAGACAAUAACGGGCCUCUGAAAGCACAGAGGACCACCUACGGCCAGUCCCCCGAGGUGUGCAUGAAACUGCUGACUCCCGGACUGUGACCCAGCUCUUCUGAAUCCAAAGCCUGAAGACAGCCUUGGAAUCUGAAUAACCGCCUCCUCAGGUGACUCUGAGACCUCUUGCAGCUGCCUUCAGGGCAGACAAGCCUGGAUGCUCCUUUUGUCGUGAGACAGCGCAUUUCCUCUUUGUACCUUGACUAAGCCAAAGCUGGGAAAUCAGCAGGGAGGGAAGGUUCCGAGCUCGCGGGCCUGUAGGCGGCAAGCAUGGACAAGUGCAGCCCUUCCCUCUCCCUGAGCUGGAGGACGGCAGGGCCAAGGGAAGAGGAGGAGGAGGAUGCUCCUUCCCCCCGGCACUGAGCCCUCCCAGCUGUGCUGUGCUGGGAACAGGCCAGGCGUUUGUGAAAUCCUCGGGUGAGCCUGACCCACUGUCAUGAGGACUUGCCUGUGGAAGCUGGUGCCGGGAGGGGGAUGGGGGGCUGUUCCCAGAAGCGGGUAGAACUCUGGACUUCCCACUCCUGAGCGCUCUGAUUGCAGCACAGCCUUAAGCAACAGUAGCGGCCUGGAAGGCUGGGCUGCAGGCUGGAAGGCUGGGAUGCAGCCUGGAAGGAAGGCUGCGCUGCAGGCUGGAACACUGGGUUGUAGGCUUCAGGCUUUUUUUCAGAAAAGAAAUUAGGGUUCUGAAUGCUAAGACGUUGGGCUCUUCCAGUUAACACCAUCACUGCCGGUAUUCACAGCACUAUUCAGGCCCAGCCUCAGGAAGAGACUGCAAACCCAGAUAUAAAAAAUAAAAAUAAAUAAAAAACA
Molecule: long non-coding RNA, 1185 nt
Organism: Homo sapiens (human)
Lineage: Eukaryota; Metazoa; Chordata; Mammalia; Primates; Hominidae
Exons: 2
Source: RefSeq, a predicted model, not a curated record